CGCACUUACCCCGACGCCUUUCUACGCUCUGGCUGGCUGCAGUGUCCAUCGCUGCCACCAACCACAAACAGGGCUGCAAACAGGAAGGAUUUUAUUCACCGUCCAUGCGGCCCCGAGUUGUCCCAAAGCGAGGCAGUGCCCCCAAGGUCUGUGCAGAGCAGAACGCAGCUCCGCCCUCGCGGUGCCACCGGCCCGCCCGCCCGGGUCUCUGCUGAGGAGAACAUUGCUCUGCCUUCGCUGUAUCUCCGAAGUGUGUGCAGAGGAGAACUCAGCUCCGCCCUCGCAAUGCUCUCCGGGUCUGUGCUGAGGAGAACGCAGCUCCGCCCUCGCAAAGGCACACAGCGCUGGCGCCGGCGUGGCGGAGAGGCGGACGGCGGCGGAGAGGCGGCCAGCGGCGGCGCGGCGGAGAGGCGGAUAGCGGCGGAGAGGCGGACAGCGGCGGCGCGGCGGAGAGACGGACAGCGGCGGAGAGGCGGACAGCGGCGGAGAGGCGGACAGCGGCGGCGCGGCGGAGAGACGGACAGCGGCGGAGAGGCGGACAGCGGCGGCGCGGCGGAGAGACGGAUAGCGGCGGAGAGGCGGACAGCGGCGGCGCGGCGGAGAGGCGGACAGCGGCGGAGAGGUGGACAGCGGCGGAGAGGCGGACAGCGGCGGCGCGGCGGAGAGACGGACAGCGGCGGAGAGGCGGACAGCGGCGGCGCGGCGGAGAGGCGGACAGCGGCGGCGCGGCGGAGAGACGGACAGCGGCGGAGAGGCAGACAGCGGCGGCGAGGCGCGCAGCGGCGGCGCAGGCGCGGAGAGGCGCUGGCGCCGGCUCUGGCGCGGAGAGGUGCAGGCCCAGGCUCCACUCCCCAGCUGUGAAAGGGUUUUCUGCCUCCUGCUAAGCCAAUUUAUACAUUCCAAGAAAAUCUUCCAUUUCAUCCAGGUGAAACGGAACCUACUGGAAUGAAGCUGGCCUCCCAUGGAAUGAAGCUGGCCUCCCGUCUCCUUGAUUUGAAGCAGCUUCUCCACGUUGGUUAUUAUGCCAUUUUUCUAAAUCUAACAUUUUAAAAUUUGUGCCUUUUCUUUCUCUUUUGCUUGACUUCUCAGAGGUUUUUUUAACGGUCUUUUCAAAGAAGUGGUUUUGGGUUUUAUUUAUCAAGUCUACUUUUAUUAUGGCUGUUUUAAAAUUAAAUACAUUUAUUUCUUGUUUCCC
This 1195-nucleotide long non-coding RNA is filed under the name Homo sapiens (human). RNAcentral's name for it is "non-protein coding lnc-PLGLB1-6:2". Lineage: Eukaryota; Metazoa; Chordata; Mammalia; Primates; Hominidae. The record is from RNAcentral.